UAUAAAUAUGGUGAUGGGGCUCACCUUAAAUGCGAAAUGCUAAUGGCUCCUACUUUGAU
RNAcentral lists this non-coding RNA (59 nucleotides) under Caldanaerobius fijiensis. Its description in RNAcentral is "Fluoride sequence". It matches the Rfam family "Fluoride riboswitch aptamer (crcB RNA motif)". RNAcentral also lists the same sequence under 1 other name. Lineage: Bacteria; Bacillati; Bacillota; Clostridia; Thermoanaerobacterales; Thermoanaerobacteraceae. The record is from RNAcentral.